RNAcentral lists this ribosomal RNA (219 nucleotides) under Leucochloridium vogtianum. Its description in RNAcentral is "partial 18S ribosomal RNA". The stretch from base 1 to 190 matches the Rfam family "Eukaryotic small subunit ribosomal RNA", at positions 1646 to 1831 of the family's 1831-position model. The record is from RNAcentral. Lineage: Eukaryota; Metazoa; Platyhelminthes; Trematoda; Diplostomida; Leucochloridiidae.
GACGAUCAUGCCUUUGUACACACCGCCCGUCGCUACUACCGAUUGAAUGGUUUAGCAAGGUCCUCGGAUUGGUGAUGUUGAGUGACUUUUGUCACAUGAACUGUGCCAAGAAGACGACCGAACUUGAUCAUUUAGAGGAAGUAAAAGUCGUAACAAGGUUUCCGUAGGUGAACCUGCGGAAGGAUCAUUACAAAUCCCUAAUUAUUAAACCAUUAUUAU